Long non-coding RNA from Pipra filicauda (Wire-tailed manakin), 430 nucleotides. RefSeq lists it as uncharacterized. The record is from RefSeq and is a predicted model, not a curated record. The transcript has 2 exons. NCBI's taxonomy places the organism in Eukaryota, Metazoa, Chordata, Aves, Passeriformes, Pipridae.
AUCCAUCUGCUCCAGCUGGGGCUUGGCUGCACUGCAGUGGGUCGCCCUGGCCCCAGCCCAGCUUGACUUGGCCAGGGGGUCUAAGGGAGGGCAGUGCCUGCCAGCAGGGGCCACUCUGCUGCCCCGGCCUAGCCCACAGGGCACCCCUCCCCACUCCUCACAGUUCACCUUGGGGGCUUUGGCACUGUCGGUGCUGUUCGGCUCCUUGGGCAGGAUGGGCUCCAGCACGGGCUGCUCGCGAGAUGGGAGACUGAGGAACAGGAAGCCCAAGAUUUGUCUAAGUAGUAUGGACCAUCUGUACCUAAACAGGAAAUGAACUGGGUCUCCAGAGCUCCAGAAAAAGGCUGUCAUCAUAGGGUCAUCUAUUUUCACCGUGCCACAAUGCUUCUUGUGAAAUAAAAUGCCUUUUGCUGCUCCCCUGGGAAUCUAA